RNAcentral lists this ribosomal RNA (465 nucleotides) under uncultured bacterium. RNAcentral's name for it is "bacterial SSU rRNA". It matches the Rfam family "Bacterial small subunit ribosomal RNA", at positions 331 to 794 of the family's 1533-position model. The record is from RNAcentral.
CCAGACUCCUACGGGAGGCAGCAGUGAGGAAUAUUGGUCAAUGGCCGCAGGGCUGAACCAGCCAAGUCGCGUGAGGGAUGACGGUCCUAUGGAUUGUAAACCUCUUUUGUCAGGGAGCAAAGGGCGCCACGUGUGGCGUUUUGCGAGUACCUGAAGAAAAAGCAUCGGCUAACUCCGUGCCAGCAGCCGCGGUAAUACGGAGGAUGCGAGCGUUAUCCGGAUUUAUUGGGUUUAAAGGGUGCGCAGGCGGAAUGUCAAGUCAGCGGUAAAAAUUCGGGGCUCAACCCCGUCGUGCCGUUGAAACUGAUGUUCUUGAGUGGGCGAGAAGUAUGCGGAAUGCGUGGUGUAGCGGUGAAAUGCAUAGAUAUCACGCAGAACUCCGAUUGCGAAGGCAGCAUACCGGCGCCCAACUGACGCUGAAGCACGAAAGCGUGGGUAUCGAACAGGAUUAGAUACCCGCGUAAA